UAUGUAGGGGGCAAGCGUUAUCCGGAAUUACUGGGUGUAAAGGGUGCGUAGGCGGCUAUGCAAGUCAGAUGUGAAAACUCAGGACUCAACCUUGAGAUUGCAUCUGAAACUGCGUAGCUAGAGUGUGGGAGAGGAAAGUGGAAUUCCGAGUGUAGCGGUGAAAUGCGUAGAGAUUCGGAGGAACACCAGUAGCGAAGGCGGCUUUCUGGACCAUAACUGACGCUGAGGCACGAAAGCGUGGGGAGCAAACAGG
RNAcentral lists this ribosomal RNA (253 nucleotides) under uncultured prokaryote. Its description in RNAcentral is "partial 16S ribosomal RNA". It matches the Rfam family "Bacterial small subunit ribosomal RNA", at positions 524 to 776 of the family's 1533-position model. The record is from RNAcentral.